This 529-nucleotide ribosomal RNA is filed under the name uncultured bacterium. RNAcentral's name for it is "bacterial SSU rRNA". It matches the Rfam family "Bacterial small subunit ribosomal RNA", at positions 17 to 518 of the family's 1533-position model. The record is from RNAcentral.
AUCUGGUUCAGGACGAACGCUGGCGGCGUGCCUAAUACAUGCAAGUCGAACGGUCUUUCUAUGGAAGCUUGCUUCCACUGAGAAGAUAGUGGCGAACGGGUGAGUAACACGUGGGUAACCUGCCCAUAAGAGGGGGGAUAACAUCCGGAAACGGGUGCUAAUACCGCAUAGUUUUCUUGAUCGCAUGAUCGGGAAAGGAAAGACGGCCUUUGUGCUGUCGCUUAUGGAUGGACCCGCGGCGUAUUAGUUAGUUGGUGAGGUAACGGCUCACCAAGACGAUGAUACGUAGCCGACCUGAGAGGGUGAUCGGCCACAUUGGGACUGAGACACGGCCCAAACUCCUACGGGAGGCAGCAGUAGGGAAUCUUCCGCAAUGGACGAAAGUCUGACGGAGCAACGCCGCGUGAGUGAAGAAAGGUUUUCGGAUCGUAAAACUCUGUUGUCAGAGAAGAACAAGUUGGAGAGUAACUGCUCCAGCCUUGACGGUAUCUGACCAGAAAGCCACGGCUAACUACGUGCCAGCCGCUGC